RNAcentral lists this ribosomal RNA (253 nucleotides) under uncultured bacterium. RNAcentral's name for it is "partial 16S ribosomal RNA". It matches the Rfam family "Bacterial small subunit ribosomal RNA", at positions 524 to 776 of the family's 1533-position model. The record is from RNAcentral.
GACGAACCGUGCGAACGUUGUUCGGAUUCACUGGGCUUAAAGGGCGCGUAGGCGGGCGAGCGAGUCCGGGGUGAAAUCUUUCGGCUUAACCGGAAAAGGGCCUUGGAUACCGCUCGUCUCGAGGGAGGUAGGGGCAGGCGGAACUUCCGGUGGAGCGGUGAAAUGCGUUGAUAUCGGAAGGAACGCCGGUGGCGAAAGCGGCCUGCUGGACCUCUUCUGACGCUGAGGCGCGAAAGCCAGGGGAGCAAACAGG